AAAUUAACAACGUCUUCAUAGGUAAAAUAGCGAUACACAGAUUAUCAUUGGUCAUCUCAACUCGAUUGCUUUUCCGUAUCGGCUCCAGCGAGAAAAUCGAUCUCGUUGAGAUAAACAACGAUAAUCUAUAAUUAUCUCUCUAUUAUCUAACUAACGUCACGGUACCCAAAUUGCACCGAGCACCCAAAUUGCACCUAUUUAGCAAAAUAGCAGCGGACAUCUAACAAGAUUUCAUAGAGACUAAACAAUUUGUAUUUUUAUGAUUUGAUACUAUGCACGUCUUCCAACAUAGUUAAACAUAUUUAGAUAUACACAAAACGUUCACAGUAUUAAUCAGCAGAUGAAGUGUUUACUGAAAAAGCUAAAUGUACGGAAACGUCGCCAUGCGACGUCAUCAAAACGUC
RNAcentral lists this long non-coding RNA (404 nucleotides) under Mytilus galloprovincialis (Mediterranean mussel). Lineage: Eukaryota; Metazoa; Mollusca; Bivalvia; Mytilida; Mytilidae. The record is from RNAcentral.